GCCUGGCUAGCUCAGUUGGUAGAGGAUGAGAUUCUUAAUCUCAGGGUUGUGGGUUCGAGCCCCACGUUGGGCC
This 73-nucleotide transfer RNA is filed under the name Neotoma lepida (desert woodrat). It matches the Rfam family "tRNA". From Rfam's summary of the family: Transfer RNA (tRNA) molecules are approximately 80 nucleotides in length. Their secondary structure includes four short double-helical elements and three loops (D, anti-codon, and T loops). The record is from Rfam by way of RNAcentral. Lineage: Eukaryota; Metazoa; Chordata; Mammalia; Rodentia; Cricetidae.